RNAcentral lists this ribosomal RNA (468 nucleotides) under uncultured bacterium. RNAcentral describes it as "partial 16S ribosomal RNA". It matches the Rfam family "Bacterial small subunit ribosomal RNA", at positions 28 to 507 of the family's 1533-position model. The record is from RNAcentral.
GACGAACGCUGGCGGCGUGCUUAACACAUGCAAGUCGAACGGAAAGGCCCUGCUUUUGUGGGGUGCUCGAGUGGCGAACGGGUGAGUAACACGUGAGUAACCUGCCCUUGACUUUGGGUUAACUUCAGGAAACUGGGGCUAAUACCGGAUAGGAGCUCCUGCUGCAUGGUGGGGGUUGGAAAGUUUCGGCGGUUGGGGAUGGACUCGCGGCUUAUCAGCUUGUUGGUGGGGUAGUGGCUUACCAAGGCUUUGACGGGUAGCCGGCCUGAGAGGGUGACCGGCCACAUUGGGACUGAGAUACGGCCCAGACUCCUACGGGAGGCAGCAGUGGGGAAUAUUGCACAAUGGGCGGAAGCCUGAUGCAGCAACGCCGCGUGCGGGAUGACGGCCUUCGGGUUGUAAACCGCUUUCGCCCGUGACGAAGCGUGAGUGACGGUAAUGGGUAAAGAAGCACCGGCUAACUACGUG